GUAAGGAAUAUUGCUCAAUGGGAGAAAUCCUGAAGCAGCAACGCCGCGUGGAGGAUGAAGGGUCUAUGACUUGUAAACUCCUGUAAAGAAGGAAAAAAUUCCCAUUAGAUGGGAGAUGAUGGUACUUCUGGAGUAAGCCCCGGCUAACUACGUGCCAGCAGCCGCGGUAAUACGUAGGGGGCAAGCGUUGUCCGGAUUUACUGGGUGUAAAGGGUGCUCAGGCGGAUUUGUAAGUCAGAGGUGAAAUCUUACAGCUUAACUGUGAAACUGCCUUUGAUACUGCAAGCCUAGAGUAUGGAAGAGAGUGAUGGAAUAUCUGGUGUUGCAGUGAAAUGCGUAGAUAUCAGAUAGAACACCAAUGGCGAAGGCAGUCACUUGGUCCAUUACUGACGCUAAAGCACGAAAGCGUGGGUAGCAAACA
RNAcentral lists this ribosomal RNA (421 nucleotides) under uncultured bacterium. RNAcentral's name for it is "bacterial SSU rRNA". It matches the Rfam family "Bacterial small subunit ribosomal RNA", at positions 354 to 774 of the family's 1533-position model. The record is from RNAcentral.